UCACUUUGACAGCAUAUCUGCUAAAAUUAGAACAAUAUAGAGAUUAGCAUGGCCCCUGUACAAAGUAUACAAGCAAAUUUGUAAACUGUUCCAUAUUUUU
This 100-nucleotide small nuclear RNA is filed under the name Neotoma lepida (desert woodrat). Lineage: Eukaryota; Metazoa; Chordata; Mammalia; Rodentia; Cricetidae. The record is from RNAcentral.